Molecule: transfer RNA, 71 nt
Filed under: Candidatus Magasanikiibacteriota bacterium
Lineage: Bacteria; Candidatus Magasanikiibacteriota
Also listed under: 1 other name
Description: tRNA-Trp
Rfam family: tRNA
About the family: Transfer RNA (tRNA) molecules are approximately 80 nucleotides in length. Their secondary structure includes four short double-helical elements and three loops (D, anti-codon, and T loops). Further hydrogen bonds mediate the characteristic L-shaped molecular structure. tRNAs have two regions of fundamental functional importance: the anti-codon, which is responsible for specific mRNA codon recognition, and the 3' end, to which the tRNAs corresponding amino acid is attached (by aminoacyl-tRNA synthetases). tRNAs cope with the degeneracy of the genetic code in two manners: having more than one tRNA (with a specific anti-codon) for a particular amino acid; and 'wobble' base-pairing, i.e. permitting non-standard base-pairing at the 3rd anti-codon position.
Source: RNAcentral
GCGGGCGUAGUUUAGUGGUAGAACUGUGGUCUCCAAAACCACUGGUGGGGGUUCGAUUCCCUCCGCCCGUG